RNAcentral lists this transfer RNA (72 nucleotides) under Ictidomys tridecemlineatus (thirteen-lined ground squirrel). RNAcentral's name for it is "Spermophilus tridecemlineatus (thirteen-lined ground squirrel) tRNA". It matches the Rfam family "tRNA". Rfam says of the family: Transfer RNA (tRNA) molecules are approximately 80 nucleotides in length. Their secondary structure includes four short double-helical elements and three loops (D, anti-codon, and T loops). The record is from Rfam by way of RNAcentral. Lineage: Eukaryota; Metazoa; Chordata; Mammalia; Rodentia; Sciuridae. RNAcentral also lists the same sequence under 1 other name.
UGGGUUGUGGCUCAGUGGUAGAGCACUUGCCUAGCACGUGCAAGGCCCUGGGUUCCAUCCUCAGCACCACAU